CAGUAGCCGCGGGAAUACGUAGGGCGCAAGCGUUGUCCGGAAUUAUUGGGCGUAAAGAGCUCGUAGGCGGUCUGUCGCGUCUGGUGUGAAAUCCCGAGGCUCAACCUCGGGCUUGCAUCGGGUACGGGCAGACUAGAGUGCGGUAGGGGAGACUGGAAUUCCUGGUGUAGCGGUGGAAUGCGCAGAUAUUAGGAGGAACACCGAUGGCGAAGGCAGGUCUCUGGGCCGCAACUGACGCUGAGGAGCGAAAGCAUGGGGAGCGAACAGGAUUAGAUACCCCCGUAGUCCCUGUCUCUUAUAC
This 301-nucleotide ribosomal RNA is filed under the name uncultured bacterium. RNAcentral's name for it is "partial 16S ribosomal RNA". It matches the Rfam family "Bacterial small subunit ribosomal RNA", at positions 509 to 807 of the family's 1533-position model. The record is from RNAcentral.